RNAcentral lists this small nucleolar RNA (108 nucleotides) under Sciurus vulgaris (Eurasian red squirrel). RNAcentral describes it as "Small nucleolar RNA U13 (ENSSVLG00005005080.1)". It matches the Rfam family "Small nucleolar RNA U13". The record is from Rfam by way of RNAcentral. Lineage: Eukaryota; Metazoa; Chordata; Mammalia; Rodentia; Sciuridae.
AUCUUUUUUCAGUUUUAAGCAUGACGACUGGGUGGGUGUUCACACUGUUGUGUAAGAUGUGCCUCCCUGCUAAACCUCGUUCCAAGACUGCAUGUUACCCAUCUGAUG